CGCUUCUCACCGCGGCCUGGGCGCCCUGGCACCGUCUCUCGGGGCUGGUGGCCUGCGUGGGCGGCCGGGUGGCCGGCAGAGCCGCCAGGGCCCCCGGGCUCAGCAAGAGGCCUAAAUGGCUGCGAAGCAGGCCCCGGGCAGGAGUCGCUCGGGCGCAGGGAGGAAGUGAACCGGCCGGAGGGAGCGCCCGGCUGCUGGCCCCACAGUCCUGACACCUCCGGAACUCCUAAUCCUUUACUUGUCCGGCUGAAAGGUCACCAGCCCCAGUCCCCAGCUGUGCCGCUUGCUGGGCACAGAGCCUCUGGUUACUGCCCCCUGAUACACACAGUGCCCGGGGAUAGAACCCGUGUGCGUGGACCUGGGUGACUGGGAGGCCACCGAGCGGGCGCUGGGCAGCGUGGGCCCCGUGGACCUGCUGGUGAACAACGCCGCUGUCGCCCUGCUGCAGCCCUUCCUGGAGGUCACCAAGGAGGCCUUUGACAGAUCCGUUGAGGUGAACCUGCGUGCGGCCAUCCAGGUGUCACAGGUGAGCUGCCCUGUGGGCUGGACGGGAAUUCUGGUGAGUGAUGCCAGCUCUGCUUCACCGUCUCGCUGCAAUUCCAGAUUGUAGCCAGGGGCUUAAUAGCCCGGGGAGUCCCAGGGGCCAUCGUGAAUGUCUCCAGCCAGGGCUCCAAGCGGGCAGUAACUAACCAUAGCGUCUACUGUGAGUGCCCCAGCUGUGUCCUCAGCCCCACCCCAGCCCCAGCCUCACCCUCAUCACCCACCCCAGCCCCAGCCAGCUUGGGUUCCUCUUCAUAGGCUCCACCAAGGGUGCCCUGGACAUGCUAACCAAGAUCCGAGUGAAUGCAGUAAACCCCACAGUGGUGAUGACGCCCAUGGGCCAGGCGGCCUGGAGUGACCCCCACAAAGCCAAGACUAUGCUGGAC
Molecule: small RNA, 926 nt
Filed under: Pongo abelii (Sumatran orangutan)
Lineage: Eukaryota; Metazoa; Chordata; Mammalia; Primates; Hominidae
Description: retained intron
Source: RNAcentral